GUGUUCGCGCUCAUAAUUAGUAAUCAAAGCUGAACUAAAUUUCUAAGGUCAUUUGUGGAAAGAGGAUUGUAUUCAACUUGAUGCACUUUAAGAAACUUAGUGGUCCUGCUGCUGGAAGCGCGUGUAACAUUUUGUUUAAUGUAGAUUUGCUUGUAUUUAGUUGCUAUAAAUAAGUAAUGUUGUAUUGCAUUCUGUUUCAAUGAAAUGAGAAUUGAUACUUCUCCGA
Molecule: long non-coding RNA, 226 nt
Filed under: Trifolium pratense (red clover)
Lineage: Eukaryota; Viridiplantae; Streptophyta; Magnoliopsida; Fabales; Fabaceae
Description: long non-coding RNA (TPRA_LNC012496)
Source: RNAcentral